GGCGAUUUAGCCAAGCGGUCCAAGGCGCUAGGUUCAGGCUGUAAUAACCUCCUAGUCUCGAUUUUCGGGGCGUGGGUUCGAAUCCCACAGUCGUCA
RNAcentral lists this transfer RNA (96 nucleotides) under Rhizoctonia solani. It matches the Rfam family "tRNA". From Rfam's summary of the family: Transfer RNA (tRNA) molecules are approximately 80 nucleotides in length. Their secondary structure includes four short double-helical elements and three loops (D, anti-codon, and T loops). Lineage: Eukaryota; Fungi; Basidiomycota; Agaricomycetes; Cantharellales; Ceratobasidiaceae. The record is from Rfam by way of RNAcentral.